Long non-coding RNA from Lathyrus oleraceus (garden pea), 412 nucleotides. RefSeq lists it as uncharacterized. The record is from RefSeq and is a predicted model, not a curated record. Lineage: Eukaryota; Viridiplantae; Streptophyta; Magnoliopsida; Fabales; Fabaceae. The transcript has 2 exons.
CAAUAACCAUUCAAGCCACAGGAGCAAGUUCACUUUUACUAAACACGGGAGCUCUGUACCUAUCUGUUGGUGGCAUGCUAAUGUCUGUAAUUUCCUUGUUGGGUUACUGUUCUUGCGUUUACUGGAGAAACUUGGUCCACAACUGCUUUACUCAAUGUUUGCUACAUUCUGCAUGAUGGCAGUAAUCUUUGUAAAAAGAAAUGUGGUGGAAACCAAAGGGAAAUCACUUCAAGAAAUUGAGAUAGCACUUCUUCCCCAAGACUAGAGCUUCUUACAAAAACCCAUUCACUGCAGUAAUUUUGCAUAAUUUGGGGGCUAUCAUAGUGUCGGCUAUGAGCAUAUUAUGAACAAAUGUUAACAAUGAUUGUUCAAUCCAUUUCCGAAAAAUGCAGCAAUUUCAUAAGUUUUAAGA